UACAGAGGUCCCAAGCGUUGUUCGGAUUCACUGGGCGUAAAGGGUGCGUAGGUGGUGGGGUAAGUCGGAUGUGAAAUCUCCGAGCUCAACUCGGAAACUGCAUUGGAAACUACCCUGCUAGAGGGUCGGAGGGGGGACUGGAAUACUUGGUGUAGCAGUGAAAUGCGUAGAUAUCAAGUGGAACACCAGUGGCGAAGGCGAGUCCCUGGACAACUCCUGACACUGAGGCACGAAAGCUAGGGGAGCAAACAGG
RNAcentral lists this ribosomal RNA (253 nucleotides) under uncultured bacterium. RNAcentral describes it as "partial 16S ribosomal RNA". It matches the Rfam family "Bacterial small subunit ribosomal RNA", at positions 524 to 776 of the family's 1533-position model. The record is from RNAcentral.